GAUGAACGCUGGCGGCGUGCCUAAUACAUGCAAGUCGAGCGAACAGACGAGGAGCUUGCUCCUCUGACGUUAGCGGCGGACGGGUGAGUAACACGUGGAUAACCUACCUAUAAGACUGGGAUAACUUCGGGAAACCGGAGCUAAUACCGGAUAAUAUAUUGAACCGCAUGGUUCAAUGGUGAAAGACGGUUUCGCUGUCACUUAUAGAUGGAUCCGCGCCGCAUUAGCUAGUUGGUAAGGUAACGGCUUACCAAGGCAACGAUGCGUAGCCGACCUGAGAGGGUGAUCGGCCACACUGGAACUGAGACACGGUCCAGACUCCUACGGGAGGCAGCAGUAGGGAAUCUUCCGCAAUGGGCGAAAGCCUGACGGAGCAACGCCGCGUGAGUGAUGAAGGUCUUCGGAUCGUAAAACUCUGUUAUUAGGGAAGAACAAAUGUGUAAGUAACUAUGCACGUCUUGACGGUACCUAAUCAGAAAGCCACGGCUAACUACG
RNAcentral lists this ribosomal RNA (495 nucleotides) under uncultured bacterium. RNAcentral's name for it is "partial 16S ribosomal RNA". It matches the Rfam family "Bacterial small subunit ribosomal RNA", at positions 28 to 505 of the family's 1533-position model. The record is from RNAcentral.